CCUACGGGAGGCAGCAGUGGGGGAUAUUGCACAAUGGGGGAAACCCUGAUGCAGCGACGCCGCGUGAGUGAAGAAGGAUUUCGGUAUGUAAAGCUCUAUCAGCAGGGAAGAAAAUGACAGUACCUGACCAAGAAGCCCCGGCUAACUACGUGCCAGCAGCCGCGGUAAUACGUAGGGGGCAAGCGUUAUCCGGAUUUACUGGGGGUAAAGGGAGCGUAGACGGGUAUGCAAGUCUGGAGUGAAAGCCGGGGGCCCAACCCCGGGCCUGCUUUGGAAACUGUGAAACUGGAGUACAGGAGGGGCCGGCGGACUUCCUUGUGUAGCGGUGAAAUGCGUAGAUAUUAGGAGGAACACCGGCGGCGAAGGCGGCCUGCUGGACUGCAACUGACGUUGAGGCUCGAAAGCGUGGGGAGCAAACAGGAUUAGAUACCCCUGUAGUC
RNAcentral lists this ribosomal RNA (440 nucleotides) under uncultured bacterium. RNAcentral's name for it is "partial 16S ribosomal RNA". It matches the Rfam family "Bacterial small subunit ribosomal RNA", at positions 338 to 795 of the family's 1533-position model. The record is from RNAcentral.